CUUCUCCAAGUCUCUGUUCUUCUUCUGAUAACUGGCUUCAACUCUCUGCAAUCUCAAACACUCUCGGUGCUCUGCAUUCAUCAAAUUCUCCAUCUCUUCAUAAGAUCUCUUCUUGCUCCUCACUCCACCAACAUCUACACUCUGGACGUCUCUGAGUUGAUGCGUCAGGUUCAACCUAUCAGCUUUGGCUUGGUACAACUC
Molecule: long non-coding RNA, 201 nt
Filed under: Lathyrus oleraceus (garden pea)
Lineage: Eukaryota; Viridiplantae; Streptophyta; Magnoliopsida; Fabales; Fabaceae
Description: Pisum sativum (pea) long non-coding RNA (PSAT_LNC030205)
Source: RNAcentral